Leersia perrieri is the source of this 87-nucleotide small nucleolar RNA. The record is from Rfam. Lineage: Eukaryota; Viridiplantae; Streptophyta; Magnoliopsida; Poales; Poaceae.
AGGAGAAGUGAUGAUGCUUAAUCCAUACCACAUCUCUGCAUAUCAGAUGAUGAUCAAUAUACAUCAUGCACUACCAUCUGAUCUCCC